AUGAGGCUCUCUGCUCAGCUCCUGGGGCUACUGAUGCUCUGGGUGCCUGGAUCCAGUGGGGAUAUUGUGAUGAUCCAGACUCCACUAUCCCUGCCCAUCACCCCUGGAGAGCCAGCCUCCAUCUCCUGUAGGUCUAGUCAGAGCCUCCUGAAGAGUAGUGGAUACACCUAUUUGCGUUCAUACCUGCAGAAGCCCGGCCAGUCUACACAGCUCCUAAUCUAUUUGGUUUCCAAUUGCGCCUCUGGAGUCCCUGACAGGUUGAGUGGCAGUGGGUCCGGCACUGAUUUUACACUGAAAAUCAGCAGAGUAGAGUCUGAGGAUAUUGGCGUUUCUUACUGCAUGCAAAACCUACAAAUUCCUUCCACGGUGCUACAUCCUCAAAAAGAAACUUCCCUGCUGGGGUCGUCCAGCUGCUCACAUGCACUGCUUUUCUGAGUAGGAGCUCAUCUG
Molecule: non-coding RNA, 450 nt
Organism: Symphalangus syndactylus (siamang)
Lineage: Eukaryota; Metazoa; Chordata; Mammalia; Primates; Hylobatidae
Source: the annotation of a RefSeq genome assembly